RNAcentral lists this ribosomal RNA (377 nucleotides) under uncultured bacterium. RNAcentral's name for it is "bacterial SSU rRNA". It matches the Rfam family "Bacterial small subunit ribosomal RNA", at positions 521 to 896 of the family's 1533-position model. The record is from RNAcentral.
UAAUACGUAGGUGGCAAGCGUUGUCCGGAAUUAUUGGGCGUAAAGCGCGCGCAGGCGGUCCUUUAAGUCUGAUGUGAAAGCCCACGGCUCAACCGUGGAGGGUCAUUGGAAACUGGGGGACUUGAGUACAGAAGAGGAAAGCGGAAUUCCACGUGUAGCGGUGAAAUGCGUAGAGAUGUGGAGGAACACCAGUGGCGAAGGCGGCUUUCUGGUCUGUAACUGACGCUGAGGCGCGAAAGCGUGGGGAGCAAACAGGAUUAGAUACCCUGGUAGUCCACGCCGUAAACGAUGAGUGCUAAGUGUUAGGGGGUUUCCGCCCCUUAGUGCUGCAGCUAACGCAUUAAGCACUCCGCCUGGGGAGUACGGCCGCAAGGCUG